GCCCAGCACCGAAUCCUGUAUCGUUCUGAUACUAGGAAAUGUGGUGUUUAGGCCGUGCUUUGUGCCGGUAUGACUCUCCUCAAGUCCACUUGAUUGUGGCUUCAGGCCCAGAGAGGGUGUAAGGCCCGUGGAGGCGAGUCGUCCGGUGCCCGGCACGUCCUUCGAGUCGGGUUGUUUGGGAAUGCAGCCCAAAGCGGGUGGUAAACUCCAUCCAAGGCUAAAUACUAGCACGAGUCCGAUAGCGAAGAAGUACCGCGAGGGAAAGUUGAAAAGAACUUUGAAGAGAGAGUUCAAGAGUACGUGAAACCGCUGAGAGGCAAACUGGUGGAGCUGAAAUGAUCUUGAGGAAUUCAGCCCUUCCUGCUAGAGUUGUCGCCGGUUGUGAGAUCUCACGACUCCGCUGGUGUUCAUCUUCGUGAAGGAUAGGUGCACUUUCUUCUUGAUCGGACCACGACCAGCGACUUGUCUUGUCUGGCAUAAGUUGGAAGGUAACGUUGGCUUCGGCAAACGUAUUAUAACCGCUUAUUCGGUAUGAGCAAGGCGUUGGAUGCGAUGUAGGCGCUUGCCCUUUGGGCUCGUACGUUGUCUCUUUCAGGCGUGUCGCCGGCUUCACUGCCUUUGGCAGGGAUGCUGGAGACGUGUCGGUUAGCGAUGGCCUCUGCGAUUGGCGUCGAAAGUCUGUGGUUGUGAAGUAGGCAGUCCACCUGACCCGUCUUGAAACACGGACCAAGGAGUCUAACAUGUGCGCGAGUCAUUGGGCAAUACGAAACCUAAAGGCGCAGUGAAAGUAAAGAUCCAUUUUGUUGGAUUGAGGUGGGAUCCUGAGUCACGUGCUCGGGCGCACUACCGGCCCGUUCGACAUGUCAUCAUGCGGGCGGAGCAAGAGCGUACACGUUGGGACCCGAAAGAUGGUGAACUAUGCUUGCGCAGGUCGAAGCCAGAGG
Molecule: ribosomal RNA, 944 nt
Filed under: Notoplana qeshmensis
Lineage: Eukaryota; Metazoa; Platyhelminthes; Polycladida; Notoplanidae
Description: partial large subunit ribosomal RNA
Rfam family: Eukaryotic large subunit ribosomal RNA
Source: RNAcentral